CGUGUGGUUCUAUUUUGUUGGUUUCUAGGACCGCCGUAAUGAUUAAUAGGGACAGUCGGGGGCAUCAGUAUUCAAUUGUCAGAGGUGAAAUUCUUGGAUUUAUUGAAGACUAACUACUGCGAAAGCAUUUGCCAAGGAUGUUUUCAUUAAUCAGGAACGAAAGUUAGGGGAUCGAAGACGAUCAGAUACCGUCGUAGUCUUAACCAUAAACUAUGCCGACUAGGGAUCGGACGAUGUUAUAUUUUGACUCGUUCGGCACCUUACACGAAAGUAAAGUUUCUGGGUUCUGGGGGGAGUAUGGUCGCAAGGCUGAAACUUAAAGAAAUUGACGGAAGGGCACCACCAGGGGUGGAGCCUGCGGCUUAAUUUGACUCAACACGGGGAAACUCA
RNAcentral lists this ribosomal RNA (390 nucleotides) under fungal sp. Its description in RNAcentral is "SSU rRNA". It matches the Rfam family "Eukaryotic small subunit ribosomal RNA", at positions 827 to 1217 of the family's 1831-position model. The record is from RNAcentral. Lineage: Eukaryota; Fungi.